RNAcentral lists this small RNA (441 nucleotides) under Pongo abelii (Sumatran orangutan). RNAcentral describes it as "retained intron". The record is from RNAcentral. Lineage: Eukaryota; Metazoa; Chordata; Mammalia; Primates; Hominidae.
CUCCCCUCCACCCGUCCAGUGUGCUCUGGCACCUGUCAGCCCACCCAGUUCCGCUGCAGCAAUGGCUGCUGCAUCGACAGUUUCCUGGAGUGUGACGACACCCCCAACUGCCCCGACGCCUCCGAUGAGGCUGCCUGUGAAAAAUGUGAGGCCUGGGGGAUAGAGGGGGUUGGGCAGCAGACAGGGAGGUCCUGACAGCCUUGCCCUGAACCCCUGGGAGACCCUUGUUGGGCUGAGCCUCUGACCUUUCAUCUCUGCAGACACGAGUGGCUUUGACGAGCUCCAGCGCAUCCAUUUUCCCAGUGACAAAGGGCACUGUGUGGACCUGCCAGACACAGGACUCUGCAAGGAGAGCAUCCCGCGCUGGUACUACAACCCCUUCAGCGAACACUGCGCCCGCUUUACCUAUGGUGGUUGUUAUGGCAACAAGAACAACUUUGA